RNAcentral lists this long non-coding RNA (224 nucleotides) under Capsicum annuum. RNAcentral's name for it is "long non-coding RNA (CANN_LNC020658)". The record is from RNAcentral. Lineage: Eukaryota; Viridiplantae; Streptophyta; Magnoliopsida; Solanales; Solanaceae.
CCAUCGUAGAUUCUUAAGUUAAGAUCGUGACUUUAGCUUCACCGGGUGUGCCAAGGAUAACUUAGAAGGGUGCUCUUUAUUCGGGUCCUAAAAGUGUUACAUGAUAUGUUCAGGCUCAUUCUUUGGUUAAGAGACGAUGUUUAUAUUAUUUGGCUUAUAUUCAUGAUACUAGUGUUGCUUUACCUCCUUUAUUGGAUUCUGUUUGUGUGGUUCACGAGUUCGGG